GAGAAAGAUGAAGACGAGCCUGAACCAAAGAGAAG
Molecule: small RNA, 35 nt
Filed under: Arabidopsis thaliana (thale cress)
Lineage: Eukaryota; Viridiplantae; Streptophyta; Magnoliopsida; Brassicales; Brassicaceae
Description: ATSL215610
Source: RNAcentral